This 700-nucleotide ribosomal RNA is filed under the name uncultured bacterium. Its description in RNAcentral is "bacterial SSU rRNA". It matches the Rfam family "Bacterial small subunit ribosomal RNA", at positions 42 to 787 of the family's 1533-position model. The record is from RNAcentral.
UCAGGCCUAACACAUGCAAGUCGAACGAAGUAGCAAUACUUAGUGGCAGACGGGUGAGUAACAUGUAGGUAUCUGCCCUUUGGCCUGGAAUAACACGAGGAAACUUGUGCUAAUACCGGAUAAGUCUUUACGGAGAAAGCUUUAUGCACCAUUGGAUGAGCCUGCACUUGAUUAGUUUGUUGGUAGGGUAAUGGCCUACCAAGACUGUGAUCAAUAGCUGAUUUGAGAGGAUGAUCAGCCACAUUGGGACUGAGACACGGCCCAAACUCCUACGGGAGGCAGCAGUGGGGAAUCUUGCACAAUGGAGGAAACUCUGAUGCAGCGAUGCCGCGUGAGUGAAGAAGGCCUUUGGGUUGUAAAGCUCUUUCGUCGGGGAAGAAAAUGACUGUACCCGAAUAAGAAGGUCCGGCUAACUUCGUGCCAGCAGCCGCGGUAAUACGAAGGGACCUAGCGUAGUUCGGAAUUACUGGGCUUAAAGAGUUCGUAGGUGGUUGAAAAAGUUGGUGGUGAAAUCCCAGAGCUUAACUCUGGAACUGCCAUCAAGACUUUUCAGCUAGAGUAUGAUAGAGGAAAGCAGAAUUUCUAGUGUAGAGGUGAAAUUCGUAGAUAUUAGAAAGAAUACCAAUUGCGAAGGCAGCUUUCUGGAUCAUUACUGACACUGAGGAACGAAAGCAUGGGUAGCGAAGAGGAUUAGAUACCC